Molecule: long non-coding RNA, 257 nt
Organism: Hibiscus syriacus
Lineage: Eukaryota; Viridiplantae; Streptophyta; Magnoliopsida; Malvales; Malvaceae
Exons: 2
Source: RefSeq, a predicted model, not a curated record
CAAGAGAACCUAGCAUCCCAAUUUCUUUUGGUAUGGACCCUGAAAUUUUAUUGUUAAAAAGGCUAAGAUAAGAUAUGUUGGCCAAAUUUCCAACAGAUGGAGGGAGAGAACCGAUCAGAUUAUUUUCAGCGAGGUCAAGUUCAUUCAAGGACUUCAACAUUCCAAUUUGUUGAGGUAUAGAACCAGAGAGAGCAUUUUUGUACAAGUAAAGAAACAGCAGGUCUGUCAUGUUUCCUAUAGAAGCAGGAAUUUCACCA